This is a transfer RNA of Neotoma lepida (desert woodrat), 72 nucleotides long. It matches the Rfam family "tRNA". Rfam says of the family: Transfer RNA (tRNA) molecules are approximately 80 nucleotides in length. Their secondary structure includes four short double-helical elements and three loops (D, anti-codon, and T loops). Lineage: Eukaryota; Metazoa; Chordata; Mammalia; Rodentia; Cricetidae. The record is from Rfam.
GGGGAUGUAGCUCAGCGGUAGAGCGUAUACUUUGCAUGUAUGAGGCCCCGGGUUCGAGCCCCGGCAUCUCCA